This 433-nucleotide ribosomal RNA is filed under the name uncultured bacterium. RNAcentral's name for it is "bacterial SSU rRNA". It matches the Rfam family "Bacterial small subunit ribosomal RNA", at positions 8 to 445 of the family's 1533-position model. The record is from RNAcentral.
AGAGUUUGAUCCUGGCUCAGAUUGAACGCUGGCGGCAUGCCUUACACAUGCAAGUCGAACGGCAGCGGACCUUCGGGUGCCGGCGAGUGGCGAACGGGUGAGUAAAGCAUCGGAACGUACCCGGAAGUGGGGGAUAACUAUCCGAAAGGAUAGCUAAUACCGCAUAUUCUGUGCGCAGGAAAGCAGGGGACCGCAAGGCCUUGUGCUUCCGGAGCGGCCGAUGUCAGAUUAGCUAGUUGGUGAGGUAAAGGCUCACCAAGGCGACGAUCUGUAGCGGGUCUGAGAGGAUGAUCCGCCACACUGGAACUGAGACACGGUCCAGACUCCUACGGGAGGCAGCAGUGGGGAAUUUUGGACAAUGGGGGCAACCCUGAUCCAGCCAUGCCGCGUGAGUGAAGAAGGCCUUCGGGUUGUAAAGCUCUUUCGGCCGGGA